GAUGAACGCUGGCGGCGUGCCUAAUACAUGCAAGUCGAGCGAACAGACGAGGAGCUUGCUCCUCUGACGUUAGCGGCGGACGGGUGAGUAACACGUGGAUAACCUACCUAUAAGACUGGGAUAACUUCGGGAAACCGGAGCUAAUACCGGAUAAUAUAUUGAACCGCAUGGUUCAAUAGUGAAAGACGGUUUUGCUGUCACUUAUAGCUGGAUCCGCGCCGCAUUAGCUAGUUGGUAAGGUAACGGCUUACCAAGGCGACGAUGCGUAGCCGACCUGAGAGGGUGAUCGGCCACACUGGAACUGAGACACGGUCCAGACUCCUACGGGAGGCAGCAGUAGGGAAUCUUCCGCAAUGGGCGAAAGCAUGACGGAGCAACGCCGCGUGAGUGAUGAAGGUCUUCGGAUCGUAAAACUCUGUUAUUAGGGAAGAACAAAUGUGUAAGUAACUAUGCACGUCUUGACGGUACCUAAUCAGAAAGCCACGGCUAACUACGUG
RNAcentral lists this ribosomal RNA (497 nucleotides) under uncultured bacterium. RNAcentral's name for it is "partial 16S ribosomal RNA". It matches the Rfam family "Bacterial small subunit ribosomal RNA", at positions 28 to 507 of the family's 1533-position model. The record is from RNAcentral.